RNAcentral lists this ribosomal RNA (441 nucleotides) under uncultured bacterium. RNAcentral describes it as "partial 16S ribosomal RNA". It matches the Rfam family "Bacterial small subunit ribosomal RNA", at positions 338 to 795 of the family's 1533-position model. The record is from RNAcentral.
CCUACGGGAGGCAGCAGUGGGGAAUAUUGCACAAUGGGGGAAACCCUGAUGCAGCGACGCCGCGUGAGGGAAGAAGGAUUUCGGAAUGUAAAGCUCUAUCAGCAGGGAAGAAAAAAGACGGUACCUGACUAAGAAGCCCCGGCUAACCACGUGCCAGCAGCCGCGGUAAUACGGAGGGGGCAAGCGUUAUCCGGAUUUACGGGGUGUAAAGGGAGCGUAGGCGGGGUAGCAAGUCGGAAGUGAAAGCCCGUGGCUUAACCAAGGUACUGCAUUGGAAACUGUUUGUCUAGAGUGCUGGAGAGGUAAGCGGAAUUCCUAGUGUAGCGGUGAAAUGCGUAGAUAUUAGGAGGAACACCAGUGGCGAAGGCGGCUUACUGGACAGUAACUGACGUUGAGGCUCGAAAGCGUGGGGAGCAAACAGGAUUAGAUACCCCUGUAGUC